Molecule: long non-coding RNA, 1733 nt
Organism: Stylophora pistillata
Lineage: Eukaryota; Metazoa; Cnidaria; Anthozoa; Scleractinia; Pocilloporidae
Source: RefSeq, a predicted model, not a curated record
AAUGAAAUGAUUUAAUAAUUAUGAACUCUAAAAUGUGCUGCAAAUUAUAGAUGGAUGCAGAGGAAGAGAAGUGAUUUGAUGUUACUGUUCUUCCAUAGGCAGUGGUUGAAUUGCUCAAGGCAAACUUAUUUAAGGCCUGAGUCCUUCACAGUUAAUGACUGUUGCAAACAAACAUAAUCCUCACUCCUUUAAUAUCAUGACACCAAAUUUCAUUAAAUUGCUGCACUAAUCAGACACCAAACUGGCUAGGAUGCUGAAUUACAAAGCACCUCUGGUUUUACAACUUCUUGAUCAAGUUUUUGCUUCAUGUCCCAAAAACUAUUUUCACAUCAACCCAUGAAAGGGAUUUUACAAUAAUUAUUACAGAGUUGCAACUUAGGUGCAGUAAACAUUGCAAUUAAUUUUGCAUCAAAAGCAAUGACCUGCACAAAUUGUUUUCCAUCCACAUAGUAUCAUGGACCAUUACACCUUUGGAGCAUGCUAUUAAAUUACAGGGACAAUUUGAACUUAAAUGUUACAGUAACUCCUUUGCUAACCUUAACCACAUCCUGGGUUUUUUAAUUUAAACCUGAAGCUUGGAAAAUUAUCUAAAGUUUUGCAGGAUAUCAGUUAUUGCAAACAUGUUAUGUUACCCAAGUGUGUAAUGAGUGUCUGUAUGUGGUUACAGGUAAAGUGGCCCACAAGUUCUGUCACCCCCGAGGAAGUUGCAUCACCCUAAAGUUCAUUUUAUAGUGUCUUGAAAUUGGGGAGAAUCAUGAUGGAUUCAUCACCAGCACUCUUUAAAAUUUGUAAAAUGUAAUAGCUCAAUGAAAUUACCAUAAUUCUGUCCUUUAAGGUGUAAUUUUCAUUACUUGGUGUGAUCAAACUAGUUCAUUCUUUCCACAUGGAUUCAAUUCAUUGUCAGCUAUUUCAGCAAGGAUGUUGAUUUAUAACUUUAACAGACUUGUCUGUAGCUGCAGUUUUAAAGGAGGUUAAGCGUAUUUAUAGAGAUAUAUAUCGAGGCACUAGUAUAGGUAAUUAACAUAGUAACAUACAAUGUACCUAUUAUCUAUUUAAGAAAGUGGCUUUAUCUACGUGUCCAUUACAGUAUAAGUAAGAACCAAUCAAAAUGUGUGUAUGAUUCAGCUUAUCAUUUAGCAUGCUGUUGUUAGCAUUCAACGUAGAGAAACACAAGUGUUGCUUGAAUUUUUUUAAAAUGAACUCCACAGUAUUGAAAAUUGCUUUGCUUGCUUCACACUAUGCGUAAAGGUCGAAAAUAGACAUAUUUACCGUGUGUAUAUAAGGAAGCUUAUCUACCCUACUUGUAAAAACACACUGACAAAGUCUGCUCCUGUCAGAUGAAUAGCGUAGCAGAUUAAAACAAGUUUUUAUUAUAAUUCAUUUCAUGCAGUGCUGCCCAAUAGUUUGUCGUAUAAAAAAAUUCCAUCUGGCAGAGGCUGGGACAUUUGCCUUUUCACAGAGAGUAACUAAGAGCAAAUACAGUGAACACAAGGUAACCAAGAGCAAAUGAAGGGAACACAGGCUAGUUCCUUGAACUUAAAUUCUUGACAAUAUUCAACUGUCUGAAAUUAUGGCGGUUACUUGAUGAUGUAACAAGGAAAAGUGGAGCUGACAAAUUGAACUAAUUGCUUUUUGUUGAUGUAAGGGCAAUAUCUGAAUAAAUGAUGUCGUUUUUUCUGUACAUUUAUUUGAACUGGCAAUAUACAAUAAAAUUUCAUCCAUUUAAAAUACAA